Molecule: unclassified non-coding RNA, 391 nt
Filed under: soil metagenome
Description: partial contains 5.8S ribosomal RNA, internal transcribed spacer 2, and large subunit ribosomal RNA
Rfam family: 5.8S ribosomal RNA (bases 1-122)
Source: RNAcentral
GAUGAAGAACGUAGCGAAAUGCGAUACUUAGUGUGAAUUGCAGAAUCCCGUGAACCAUCGAGUCUUUGAACGCAAGUUGCGCCCGAAGCCAUUAGGCCGAGGGCACGCCUGCCUGGGCGUCACACAUCGUUGCCCCCCCAUCUACUCCUUCGGGAUUGCGGGGGGCGGAUGAUGGCCUCCCGUGCGCCUCGUCGCGCGGUUGGCAUAAAUGCCAAGUCCUCGGCGACGCACGCCACGACAAUCGGUGGUUGCGAAACCUCGGUUGCCCGUCGUGUGCGGUCGUCGCGCAUCGAGGGCUCGAAAAAAUUGCCGGGCUCCGGCUCGGCUUUCAACGCGACCCCAGGUCAGGCGGGGUUACCCGCUGAAUUUAAGCAUAUCAAUAAGCGGAGGA